Molecule: ribosomal RNA, 216 nt
Filed under: Candidatus Omnitrophota bacterium
Lineage: Bacteria; Pseudomonadati; Candidatus Omnitrophota
Description: Candidatus Omnitrophica bacterium partial 16S ribosomal RNA
Rfam family: Bacterial small subunit ribosomal RNA
Source: RNAcentral
CUUUUGGAGAGUUUGAUCCUGGCUCAGAACGAACGCUGGCGGCGUGGAUUAGGCAUGCAAGUCGUGCGAUCCUUAGGGAUAGCGGCAAAAGGGUGAGUAACGCGUGGAAAAUCUACCCUUAAGUAAGGAAUAACCCUUCGAAAGAAGAGCUAAUGCCUUAUAUGACCACGAAUACACAAGUAUUUGAGGUGAAAGGUGGGGACCUUCGGGCCUACC